This 482-nucleotide ribosomal RNA is filed under the name uncultured bacterium. RNAcentral's name for it is "bacterial SSU rRNA". It matches the Rfam family "Bacterial small subunit ribosomal RNA", at positions 30 to 506 of the family's 1533-position model. The record is from RNAcentral.
UUGAACGCUGGCGGAAUGCUUUACACAUGCAAGUCGAACGGCAGCACGGGGGCAACCCUGGUGGCGAGUGGCGAACGGGUGGGUAAUACAUCGGAACGUGCCCAAUCGUGGGGGAUAACGCAGCGAAAGUUGUGCUAAUACCGCAUACGAUCUACGGAUGAAAGCGGGGGAUCGCAAGACCUCGCGCGAGUGGAGCGGCCGAUGGCAGCUUAGGUAGUUGGUGGGGUAAAGGCUCACCAAGCCAACGAUCUGUAGCUGGUCUGAGAGGACGACCAGCCACACUGGGACUGAGACACGGCCCAGACUCCUACGGGAGGCAGCAGUGGGGAAUUUUGGACAAUGGGGGAAAGCCUGAUCCAGCCAUUCCGCGUGCAGGAUGAAGGCCUUCGGGUUGUAAACUGCUUUUGUACGGAACGAAAAGGCCCUGGUUAAUACCUGGGGCUCAUGACGGUACCGUAAGAAUAAGCACCGGCUAACUACGU